UACGGGGGGGGCAAGCGUUGUUCGGAAUUACUGGGCGUAAAGGGCUCGUAGGCGGCCAACUAAGUCGGACGUGAAAUCCCUCGGCUUAACCGGGGAACUGCGUCCGAUACUGGAUGGCUUGAGUUUGGGAGAGGGAUGCGGAAUUCCAGGUGUAGCGGUGAAAUGCGUAGAUAUCGAUAGGAACUCCGGUGGCGAAGGCGGCAUACUGGACCACAUCUGACGCUGAGGCGCGAAAGCCAGGGGAGCGAACGGG
RNAcentral lists this ribosomal RNA (253 nucleotides) under uncultured bacterium. RNAcentral's name for it is "partial 16S ribosomal RNA". It matches the Rfam family "Bacterial small subunit ribosomal RNA", at positions 524 to 776 of the family's 1533-position model. The record is from RNAcentral.